GGCUCAGGACGAACGCUGGCGGCGUGCUUAACACAUGCAAGUCGAACGCUGAAGCUUGGUGCUUGCACUGGGUGGAUGAGUGGCGAACGGGUGAGUAAUACGUGAGUAACCUGCCCUUGACUCUGGGAUAAGCCUGGGAAACUGGGUCUAAUACUGGAUACGACAUGUCACUGCAUGGUGGUGUGUGGAAAGGGUUUUACUGGUUUUGGAUGGGCUCACGGCCUAUCAGCUUGUUGGUGGGGUAAUGGCCUACCAAGGCGACGACGGGUAGCCGGCCUGAGAGGGUGACCGGCCACACUGGGACUGAGACACGGCCCAGACUCCUACGGGAGGCAGCAGUGGGGAAUAUUGCACAAUGGGCGGAAGCCUGAUGCAGCGACGCCGCGUGAGGGAUGACGGCCUUCGGGUUGUAAACCUCUUUCAGCACGGAAGAAGCGAGAGUGACGGUACGUGCAGAAGAAGCGCCGGCUAACUACGUGCCAGCAGCCGCGGUAAUACGUAGGGCGCAAGCGUUGUCCGGAAUUAUUGGGCGUAAAGAGCUCGUAGGCGGUUUGUCGCGUCUGCUGUGAAAGCCCGGGGCUUAACCCCGGGUGUGCAGUGGGUACGGGCAGACUUGAGUGCAGUAGGGGAGACUGGAAUUCCUGGUGUAGCGGUGAAAUGCGCAGAUAUCAGGAAGAACACCGAUGGCGAAGGCAGGUCUCUGGGCUGUUACUGACGC
This 718-nucleotide ribosomal RNA is filed under the name Kocuria salsicia. Its description in RNAcentral is "bacterial SSU rRNA". It matches the Rfam family "Bacterial small subunit ribosomal RNA", at positions 21 to 746 of the family's 1533-position model. The record is from RNAcentral. Lineage: Bacteria; Bacillati; Actinomycetota; Actinomycetes; Micrococcales; Micrococcaceae.